UGCCGCGGGAUCUGGUGGUUGAUGUUGUGUAUGCCCGAGGACAACACAGUUAUCCGUCUUCCCGCCAUCGUGCUUGCAUCAACAAAGCUGAGUGAGCAUACAAGCAAGACAAGAUCGGUAAAUACCCUCCAACAACUAAUGCAGAAGCUUACAUGCCUUGGAUUUGGAAACGACAGGUUAUCAGAUCUGGAUAUCAUAGAGGGUUAUUGUUCGAUCCAUGGAUACAGUCAACAUCCAUGAUUGGAAGAGAAUGGUAAGGUUUCGACUUUAAUUACAGAAAUCUCAUUUGCCUUUCUCUGGUAAGUUUGUUGGUGAUGGACACCAUUCUUUGUUCUACUUAUGUUGGCUAUAGCUUGCAGCACAUUUGUUUUGCAGUAUGUCAAUGUGUGUUCUAUUGCAAUUGUUCCUUUACAGUUUGUGAGACGCGCUGUAGUAUAUCAGGUAGUAUCCUCCUCGUAAAAAGAAACAUGUAGCUAUUCGAUCUAUGAAAGAAAGCACAUUACAAGCUCCCCAUUUUUUUUGAAAAGUUGCUUAGUGGAAAGAGUUCAGGAAAUUGGUUAAUCAUAGUCUCUUGGCUGAACCGAUCAAGAGGAUAUAUUUGUUAAAACAAUGCCCACGUUGAUAUAGGACCUGGGUUGCUAAUUCAGUAUACUAUAGCAUAGACGAAUCAUCUUCCAUUAAUCGAUACAAUGAUAGAAUUAGUAGAGUUGUGCAGUUCAGCUUAUUACUUCUAUUGCUGAGUGAUGUUAAAUUGAUACAAAGAUGUCUAUAAUGGUAGAGUUCAUAUAAUGUUUCAUCAGGUAUGCACGAUCCUUUUACAUUCAGUAAUCUACUUUGAUUUGGUGUAUGACCUGUCUUGGAGGAUGGUGGCAUUGUUGCCAGGCGACAGAGUGGUCGAAUGUGUAUGUAGGCGCCUGUAUUUGUUUCUACAAAUAAAAAUGACCAUAUUGAAAUGGAGUAUGCAAGCAUAUAUAGUACAAUAAAUACUGCACAAAACUAUUUAUCUC
This is a long non-coding RNA of Lolium rigidum, 1007 nucleotides long. RefSeq lists it as uncharacterized. The transcript is spliced from 3 exons. The record is from RefSeq and is a predicted model, not a curated record. Lineage: Eukaryota; Viridiplantae; Streptophyta; Magnoliopsida; Poales; Poaceae.